UUAAGCCAAAUUCUAUAUGGGGCAUUCCACGCCAAAUCGACCACUUUUGACCCUGACCCCUUUUGAUUUGGCUGAAAGUUUACCAUCCUUUUCUACCCUAUCAAAAAUGUCUCUCAUAAUUUUUUCAAAUUUUUUUACCCAACCAAAAAAAAGUU
Molecule: long non-coding RNA, 155 nt
Organism: Cotesia glomerata
Lineage: Eukaryota; Metazoa; Arthropoda; Insecta; Hymenoptera; Braconidae
Exons: 3
Source: RefSeq, a predicted model, not a curated record